RNAcentral lists this ribosomal RNA (264 nucleotides) under uncultured bacterium. RNAcentral describes it as "partial 16S ribosomal RNA". It matches the Rfam family "Bacterial small subunit ribosomal RNA", at positions 793 to 1055 of the family's 1533-position model. The record is from RNAcentral.
GUCCACCCCGUAAACGUUGGGAACUAGUUGUGGGGACCAUUCCACGGUCUCCGUGACGCAGCUAACGCAUUAAGUUCCCCGCCUGGGGAGUACGGCCGCAAGGCUAAAACUCAAAGGAAUUGACGGGGACCCGCACAAGCGGCGGAGCAUGCGGAUUAAUUCGAUGCAACGCGAAGAACCUUACCAAGGCUUGACAUAUACGAGAACGGGCUAGAAAUAGUCAACUCUUUGGACACUCGUAAACAGGUGGUGCAUGGUUGUCGU